AGAGUUUGAUUAUGGCUCAGGAUGAACGCUAGCGACAGGCCUAACACAUGCAAGUCGAACGGGAUUGGGAGCUUGCUCCCAUGAGAGUGGCGCACGGGUGAGUAACGCGUAUGCAACCUACCUGUAACUGGGGGAUAGCUCCCUGAAAGGGGAAUUAACACCGCAUAAGACCACGCCAUCACCUGAUGGAGGGGUAAAAUAUUUAUAGGUUACAGAUGGGCAUGCGUGACAUUAGUUUGUUGGUGAGGUAACGGCUCACCAAGACUACGAUGUCUAGGGGUUCUGAGAGGAAGGUCCCCCACACUGGUACUGAGACACGGACCAGACUCCUACGGGAGGCAGCAGUGAGGAAUAUUGGUCAAUGGACGCAAGUCUGAACCAGCCAUGUCGCGUGCAGGACGACGGCCCUAUGGGUUGUAAACUGCUUUUGUACGGGAAGAAAAAUGACCACGUGUGGUCACUUGCCGGUACCGUACGAAUAAGGAUCGGCUAACUCCGUGCCAGCAGCCGCGGUAAUACGGAGGAUCCGAGCGUUAUCCGGAUUUAUUGGGUUUAAAGGGUGCGUAGGCGGAAUGGUAAGUCAGGGGUGAAAUACUGCAGCU
This 602-nucleotide ribosomal RNA is filed under the name uncultured bacterium. RNAcentral's name for it is "bacterial SSU rRNA". It matches the Rfam family "Bacterial small subunit ribosomal RNA", at positions 8 to 609 of the family's 1533-position model. The record is from RNAcentral.